AUACGGAGGAUCCGAGCGUUAUCCGGAUUUAUUGGGUUUAAAGGGUGCGCAGGCGGGAGAUUAAGUCGGCGGUGAAAUUUUGCAGCUCAACUGUAGAAGUGCCUUCGAAACUGGUUUCCUUGAGUGUAGAUGAAGUAGGCGGAAUUUGUGGUGUAGCGGUGAAAUGCAUAGAUAUCACGAGGAACUCCGAUUGCGCAGGCAGCUUACUAAACUACUACUGACGCUCAGGCACGAAGGCGUGGGGAUCAAACAGGAUUAGAUACCCUGGUAGUCCACGCAGUAAACGAUGAUUACUAGCUGUUUGCGAUACAAUGUAAGCGGCUGAGCGAAAGCGUUAAGUAAUCCACCUGGGGAGUACGUUCGCAAGAAUGAAACUCAAAUGAAUUGACGGGG
RNAcentral lists this ribosomal RNA (393 nucleotides) under uncultured bacterium. RNAcentral's name for it is "partial 16S ribosomal RNA". It matches the Rfam family "Bacterial small subunit ribosomal RNA", at positions 523 to 918 of the family's 1533-position model. The record is from RNAcentral.